AUCUUUCUAGUAUUAGAAUUAGUACGAGUGACUUCCAAUCACCUGGCCCUGGUUAAAAUCCAGGGAAAGAUA
This 72-nucleotide transfer RNA is filed under the name Aplocheilus panchax (blue panchax). RNAcentral describes it as "tRNA-Gly". It matches the Rfam family "tRNA". Rfam says of the family: Transfer RNA (tRNA) molecules are approximately 80 nucleotides in length. Their secondary structure includes four short double-helical elements and three loops (D, anti-codon, and T loops). The record is from RNAcentral. Lineage: Eukaryota; Metazoa; Chordata; Actinopteri; Cyprinodontiformes; Aplocheilidae.